UGGAGGGAUAAGAAGAGAGAAUGCCGGAAUGAGUAGCGAGAGGAAGGUGGGAAUCCUUCCGGCCGAAUAUCUAAGGUUUCCAGAGUAAAGCUGAUCUGCUCUGGGUAAGUCGGGGCCUAAGGAGAGGUCGCAAGACGUAUCCGAUGGACAACAGGUUUAGAUUCCUGUAUCGCAUAUAAACAGAACUGUGGGGACGCAUGUGGAAAGCAUAAGCCGGGAAUGGAAAGACCGGUACAAGCGAGGUAGGUGUGUGACAGGCAAAUCCGUCAUAUAAGCCGAAGACGUGAUGUGGAGCGAAAUUUAGUAGUGAAGUAUGUGAGCCAUGUGCCGAGAAAAGCCGCUAUUGUUUUAUAUGUGCCCGUACCGUAAACCGACACAGGUGGAUGAGGAGAAAAUCCUAAGGCCGACGGAAGAAGCAUUGUUAAGGAAUUCGGCAAAAUGACCCCGUAACUUCGGGAGAAGGGGUGCCCACUGAAUGGUGGGCCGCAGAGAAUAGGCUCAAGCAACUGUUUAGCAAAAACACAGGUCUAUGCGAAACCGAAAGGUGAAGUAUAUGGGCUGACGCCUGCCCGGUGCUGGAAGGUUGAGAGGAGAGGUUAGCGUAAGCGAAGCUUUGAAUUUAAGCCCCAGUAAACGGCGGCCGUAACGAUAACGGUCCUAAGGUAGCGAAAUUCCUUGUCGGGUAAGUUCCGACCCGCACGAAAGGCGUAAUGAUUUGAGCACUGUCUCGACAAUGCAUCCGGUGAAAUUGAAGUACCAGUGAAGAUGCUGGUUACCCGCGCCAGGACGGAAAGACCCCAUGGAGCUUUACUCCAGUUUGAUACUGGGAUUCGGUACUGCACGUACAGGAUAGGUGGGAGACUGAGAACUAUGGACGCCAGUCUGUAGGGAGUCGCUGUUGGGAUACCACCCCUGUAGUACUGUUUCUAACCAUCUGCCGUGAUCCGGCAGUGGGACAAUGUCAGGCGGGGAGUUUGACUGGGGCGGUCGCCUCCGAAAGGGUAUCGGAGGCGCUCAAAGGUUCCCUCAGAAUGGUCGGAAACCAUUUGAAGAGUGCAAAGGCAGAAGGGAGCUUGACUGCGACACCGACGGGUGGAGCAGGUACGAAAGUAGGACUUAGUGAUCCGGUGGUAUAAAGUGGGAUUGCCAUCGCUCAACGGAUAAAAGCUACCCUGGGAUAACAGGCUUAUCACUCCCAAGAGUUCACAUCGACGGAGUGGUUUGGCACCUCGAUGUCGGCUCAUCGCAUCCUGGGGCUGUAGCAGGUCCCAAGGGUUGGGCUGUUCGCCCAUUAAAGCGGUACGCGAGCUGGGUUCAGAACGUCGUGAGACAGUUCGGUCCCUAUCCGGCGCGGGCGGAGGAUAUUUGAGAGGAGCUGUCCUUAGUACGAGAGGACCGGGAUGGACGGACCACUGGUGUAUCUGUUGUCGACCAACGGCAUGGCAGAGUAGCCAAGUCCGGAAGGGAUAAACGCUGAAGGCAUCUAAGCGUGAAGCCCCCCUCAAGAUGAGAUAUCCCUCCUUCGGGAGUAAGACCCCUUGAAGACUACAAGGUAGAUAGGGCAGAGGUGGAAGUGUGGCAACACAUGGAGCUGACUGUUACUAAUAGGUCGAGGGCUUGAA
Molecule: ribosomal RNA, 1622 nt
Filed under: metagenome
Description: bacterial LSU rRNA
Rfam family: Bacterial large subunit ribosomal RNA
Source: RNAcentral